AUGAAAUUAAUGAUUCGCAAUUUCCCUACUCAUGGAUUAAAUUUAUGGAUGAUCAUACAAUUUUUUUAUGCCGGAUUGAAUUUUGCUUCUAGAAAUCUUUUAGAUUUGGCCGCGGGAGGCACUUUUAUAAAAAUCACUUUAGGAGAAGCUACUAAACUCCUAGAUAAUAUUAUGGUUAAUUAUUCUCAGUGGCACACCGAAAGAUCUACUAGUAAAAAAGUUCAUGCGAUAGAAGAGAUUAAUGUUUUGAGUGGAAAGAUGGACGAACUUAUGAACUUGUUUGCCAGUAAGAGUACUCCUAUUGAUCCUAAUGAUAUGGCUUUGUCUACUUUGAUUCAGAAUAAUAAUGAAUCUAUGGAUGUGAAUUUUGUUGGUAGGAAUAAUUUUGGUAACAACGCGUAUAGAGGAAACUUUAAUCCUAGGCCGUUUCCUAUUAAUUCCUCUAAUAAUUAUGGUAAUUCCUACAAUAACUCUUAUGGAAAUUUUAAUAAGAUUACCUCUGAUUUUGAGAUUAGUGUUAAAGAAUUUAUGAUCUCUCAAAAGAAUUUCAAUGCUUUGCUUGAAGAAAAAUUGCCUAAGAUUGAUGAAUUGGCUAGGAACGUAGAUAGAAUUUCUCUUGAUGUUGAUUCUUUGAAACUUAUAUCUAUUCGACAUAAGCAUGAUAUCAAUGAGUCUCUCAAAGCCAUGAGAAUCUCCAUUGAUAAUUGCAAAGAAAGAACCGCCAGGAUGCGUGCUAAGAAAGAUUGCUUUGUAAGAGCAUGUUCUUCUAGUUUUCAUGAUAAUAAUGAUGAAGAUCUAAAAGUGAUUGAUGUGUCCCCUAUUAAAUAUUUGUUUUGCAAUAUGAAUCUUGAUGAGAUGAGUCAACUUUAG
This 870-nucleotide ribosomal RNA is filed under the name Triticum aestivum (bread wheat). Its description in RNAcentral is "partial small subunit ribosomal RNA". The record is from RNAcentral. Lineage: Eukaryota; Viridiplantae; Streptophyta; Magnoliopsida; Poales; Poaceae.